CCUACGGGAGGCAGCAGUGAGGAAUAUUGGUCAAUGGGCGAGAGCCUGAACCAGCCAAGUCGCGUGAAGGAUGACGGCCCCACGGGUUGUAAACUUCUUUUGUCAGGGAGCAAUUGGGUCCACGCGUGGGCUUAGCGAGAGUACCUGAAGAACAAGCAUCGGCUAACUCCGUGCCAGCAGCCGCGGUAAUACGGAGGAUGCGAGCGUUAUCCGGAUUUGUUGGGGUUAAAGGGUGCGUAGGCGGAAUAUCAAGUCAGCGGUAAAAAUUCGGGGUUCAACCCCGUCGUGCCGUUGAAACUGAUGUUCUAGAGUGGGCGAGAAGUAUGCGGAAUGCGUGGUGUAGCGGUGAAAUGCAUAGAUAUCACGAAGAACUCUGAUUGCGAAGGCAGCAUACCGGCGCCCAACUGACGCUGAAGCACGAAAGCGUGGGUAUCGAACAGGAUUAGAUACCCUUGUAGUC
This 460-nucleotide ribosomal RNA is filed under the name uncultured bacterium. RNAcentral describes it as "partial 16S ribosomal RNA". It matches the Rfam family "Bacterial small subunit ribosomal RNA", at positions 338 to 795 of the family's 1533-position model. The record is from RNAcentral.